RNAcentral lists this ribosomal RNA (254 nucleotides) under uncultured bacterium. Its description in RNAcentral is "partial 16S ribosomal RNA". It matches the Rfam family "Bacterial small subunit ribosomal RNA", at positions 524 to 776 of the family's 1533-position model. The record is from RNAcentral.
UACGGGGGGGGCAAGCGUUGUUCGGAAUUACUGGGCGUAAAGGGUUCCUAGGCGGCUGAGAAAGUCGGAUGUGAAAGCCCCAGGCUCAACCUGGGAAAGCCAUUCGAAACUGCUCUAGCUAGAGUCCGGUAGGGGCGCAUGGAAUACCCGGUGUAGCGGUGAAAUGCUUAGAUAUCGGGUGGAACACCAGUGGCGAAGGCGGUGCGCUGGGCCGGAACUGACGCUGAAGAACGAAAGCGUGGGUAGCAAACAGG